AGUGAACGCUGGCGGUAGGCCUAACACAUGCAAGUCGAACGGCAGCACAGUAAGAGCUUGCUCUUACGGGUGGCGAGUGGCGGACGGGUGAGGAAUACAUCCGAAUCUACUUUUUCGUGGGGGAUAACGUAGGGAAACUUACUCUAAUACCGCAUACGACCUACGGGUGAAAGCAGGGGAUCUUCUGACCUUGCGCGAUUGAAUUAGCCGAUGUCGGAUUAGCUAGUUGGCGGGGUAAAGGCCCACCAAGGCGACGAUCCGUAGCUGGUCUGAGAGGAUGAUCAGCCACACUGGAACUGAGACACGGUCCAGACUACUACGGGAGGCAGCAGUGGGGAAUAUUGGACAAUGGGCGCAAGCCUGAUCCAGCCAUACCGCGUGGGUGAAGAAGGCCUUCGGGUUGUAAAGCCCUUUUGUUGGGAAAGAAAAGCAGCAGGUUAAUACCCCGCUGUUCUGACGGUACCCAAAGAAGAAGCACCGGCUAACUUCGUG
RNAcentral lists this ribosomal RNA (492 nucleotides) under uncultured bacterium. RNAcentral describes it as "partial 16S ribosomal RNA". It matches the Rfam family "Bacterial small subunit ribosomal RNA", at positions 29 to 507 of the family's 1533-position model. The record is from RNAcentral.